GUCUCUGGCGCCAGAGCGAUCAGUGAGAGAAGCAGCUGUUCAUCUGCAUUAAACAACUCAACCUCUCCGGAGAGUUCUGCCCAGACUCAGAACCAGGAUGUUCUCACUAAAACUCCUUUUCCUUGUGGUGGCUUCCCAGGGUGGCCAGGCGCAAGUUAGAUUCGUGGAAUCUGGAGGGGACAUGAGGAAGCCUGGAGACUCCCUCCAGCUCUCCUGUAGAGGGUCUGGAUUCAGCUUUGGAGAUCACUGGCUGAGCUGGCUCCGGCUGUCUCCCGGCAAAGGACUGGAGCAGGUCGCCACCAUUAGCUUUUGGGCAGGAGACACUAAACGUUAUGCUGCUUCUGUAACGGGGCGGUUCAGCAUCUCCAGAUCCAAUGGCCAGAAUAUGCUGUAUUUGCAAAUGAACAACCUGAAGCCUGAAGACACGGGCAUUUAUUUUUGCAGCCAAGCACAGUGUGUCAGAGUAAUUCUGAGCCCCCACAAAAACCUCGAAUCGUGGCCGUUUUGGGAGCAGAGUGCUGCCGGCAAAUUGAAAGAUCUGGACACAUGGGGGACUGUGAUACAUCGUCCCCAUUGUAAUGAAUGGGACCUCUUCAAAAAGGCCUUUCCAUCUAAGAACGACACUUACAGCACUGACACCCCCUCCUGACCCUAAACACCUACAAGCAAUAAU
Molecule: non-coding RNA, 673 nt
Organism: Trachemys scripta elegans
Lineage: Eukaryota; Metazoa; Chordata; Testudines; Emydidae
Source: the annotation of a RefSeq genome assembly